GACUUGCUUGAUGGGUUGUUUAGAAAAAGAGGUUGUUGCCUUGUCCAGUCAUCAGAGAGGCUUCAUGCAGCAGCAGAUGGGAACUUGUGCAGAGACCCACAGCCAGUCAUCAUGCAGAAAGUCUAAAUUAAAGAUCUAAAUUGGGUCCUUCACCUCAUAUAUUGUAGAACCCACCCGAAGAAGGGGAAGAAAGACUGUAGAAGUCAGAGAGGAUGGAGAACACUAGGAGAUCAUGACCCACCAAUUGGUCUAAGGAAGGCUCAUAUAGACCCACAGAGACUGAAGCAACAAGCACUGAGCCUCCAUGGGUGUGCAAGAGAUCCUCUGCAUAAAUGCUUUUGUCCUAGA
Molecule: long non-coding RNA, 348 nt
Organism: Mastomys coucha (southern multimammate mouse)
Lineage: Eukaryota; Metazoa; Chordata; Mammalia; Rodentia; Muridae
Exons: 2
Source: RefSeq, a predicted model, not a curated record